AUUGAAAUAAAAUAAAUUUUAUUUAUAAAUUAAAAUUGACUUACAAAUUAAUUAUAUUUUACAAAACUAAACAAAAAAUUAAAAAUAAACUCAAACCAGUACAAUUUCUCUAUCCUGGUUUACACUAAACCAAAUCUAAACCUAACAAAAAAUUCUAAACCUAACAAAAAAGAGACUCCAUAGCCUUGCCCCUCUUCCAACAGCCAUGAGCCUUGCCUCCUCCAGCCGCCACGAGACUUGCGUCUUCAAACCACAAUGGACCUUACCUCCUCCAACUACCAUGAACCUUGCCUCCACCUAUCUUUAGAAAAAACAAAACAAAAUCAGAUGCAUAAUAGAGAAAUAGAGAGGAGAUACACAGAUGCGAAGAGAGAGAUAGGUCGACCGUGGUGGUGGUGGGAGGGUGACAGCGGUGGUGGUGAGACAAGGAGGAGACGUGGUGGGAGAGAGAUGGGAGGAUGAGAGAGGCGUGGAGAGAGAUGGGAGAGAUGAUAGAUAAGAGAGUGAAGAAGAAGAGAAUGAUGAAGGAGAAUCAGAUCUGUCGUCGCGGAGAAGGGAGAGAGAGAGAGAGAGGAGAAAUAAAAUUAAAAAUUAAAAAUAAUAAAUAUCGACCUUUACCUUUAGAUCUAAGUUAAUCCAACGGUUCAGAAGUGUGAUCUAUGUAUCUGAAUUUGAUUGGUUAGGAAUUUUUUUUCUUUUUUCUUUUUCUUCAGUAUUUGAUAAUUUGUUUUGUAAAUAAUUUUUCUUAGUCACAUCUUAUUUCAAAAUUUAUAUUUUGAAAUUUAUAAUUUAAGUCCAAACUUUUAUUUUUUGAACAUAAUAAACUAAUAUAUUUUUAAGAAUUGAUGUUUAAAUUUGAAAAUAUUAGAUUUAU
This 874-nucleotide long non-coding RNA is filed under the name Brassica napus (rape). RNAcentral's name for it is "long non-coding RNA (BNAP_LNC012366)". Lineage: Eukaryota; Viridiplantae; Streptophyta; Magnoliopsida; Brassicales; Brassicaceae. The record is from RNAcentral.